Molecule: small nuclear RNA, 107 nt
Organism: Jaculus jaculus (lesser Egyptian jerboa)
Lineage: Eukaryota; Metazoa; Chordata; Mammalia; Rodentia; Dipodidae
Source: Ensembl
GUUCUCACUUCAGCAGCACAUAUACUAAACUGGGAACGAUACAGAGAGGAUUAGCAUGGCCCCUGUACAAUGACGACAUGCAAAUUCGUGAAGCGGUCCAUAUUUAA